This 2905-nucleotide ribosomal RNA is filed under the name Clostridium perfringens. Its description in RNAcentral is "23S ribosomal RNA". It matches the Rfam family "Bacterial large subunit ribosomal RNA". The record is from RNAcentral. Lineage: Bacteria; Bacillati; Bacillota; Clostridia; Eubacteriales; Clostridiaceae.
GGUCAAGCUACAAAGGGCGCAUGGUGAAUGCCUUGGCAUCAGGAGCCGAUGAAGGACGUGAUAAGCUGCGAUAAGCUUCGGGUAGGCGCACAUAGCCUGAGAUCCGAAGAUCUCCGAAUGAGGAAACUCACAUGGGAAACCCCAUGUAUCGUUAAGUGAAUACAUAGCUUAAUGAAGGUAACCCAGGGAACUGAAACAUCUAAGUACCUGGAGGAAGAGAAAGAAAAAUCGAUUUUCUUAGUAGCGGCGAGCGAAAGGGAAAGAGCCCAAACCGGAAACUUGUUUCCGGGGUUGUGGACAUGACAUAAAAGUGGAGGCUAUUGUAACUGAAGAGAACUGGAAAGUUCCACCGUAGAAGGUAAUAGUCCUGUAAGUGAAACGAGAAGACCACGAGUUAUGAUCCAGAGUACCACGAGACACGUGAAACCUUGUGGGAAGCAGGGAGGACCACCUCCCAAGGCUAAAUACUACCUGAUGACCGAUAGUGAAGCAGUACCGUGAGGGAAAGGUGAAAAGAACCCCGGGAGGGGAGUGAAAUAGAACCUGAAACCGUGUGCCUACAACCGCUCAGAGCCCCUUAUGAGGGUGAUGAGGUGCUUUUUGUAGAACGAGCCAACGAGUUACGGUAUGUAGCAAGGUUAAGUACUUAAGGUACGGAGCCGAAGGGAAACCGAGUCUGAAUAGGGCGACUAGUUGCAUGCCGUAGACCCGAAACCGGGUGACCUAUCCAUGGCCAGGUUGAAGCGAGGGUAAAACCUCGUGGAGGACCGAACCACGUUGCUGUUGAAAAAGCAUGGGAUGAGCUGUGGAUAGCGGAGAAAUUCCAAUCGAACCCGGAGAUAGCUGGUUCUCUCCGAAAUAGCUUUAGGGCUAGCGUCGAGUAUGAGUAGUGGAGGUAGAGCACUGAAUGGGCUAGGGGGCAUAGCGCUUACCGAACCUUAUCAAACUCCGAAUGCCACAUACUUUGAGCUCGGCAGUCAGACUACGAAUGAUAAGAUCCGUGGUCAAAAGGGAAACAGCCCAGAUCGUCAGCUAAGGUCCCAAAGUGUAAGUUAAGUGGGAAAGGAUGUGAGAUUUCUAAGACAACUAGGAUGUUGGCUUAGAAGCAGCCAUUCAUUAAAAGAGUGCGUAAUAGCUCACUAGUCGAGAGAUCUUGCGCCGAAAAUGUAACGGGGCUAAACUUACCACCGAAGCUACGGGCUUGAACUUAGUUCAAGCGGUAGGAGAGCGUCGUAACCGGGCUGAAGUCGUACCGUAAGGAGCGGUGGACUGGUUACGAGUGAGAAUGUUGGCAUCAGUAGCGAGAUGUGGGUGAGAAUCCCACAGGCCGAAAACCUAAGGUUUCCUCAGGAAGGUUCGUCCGCUGAGGGUUAGUCGGGACCUAAGCCGAGGCCGAAAGGCGUAGGUGAUGGACAACUGGUUGAUAUUCCAGUACCACUACCAUCGUUAUUAUCGAUGGCGUGACGCAGGAGGAUAGUGUGUGCUAGCUAUUGGAUGCUAGUCUAAGCGUUUAGGCAGUGAGAGUAGGCAAAUCCGCUCUCAUAAUGCUGAGGCGUGAUGGGGAAGGUUCUACGGAACCGAAGUACAUGAUUCCACGCUGCCAAGAAAAGCGUCUAGAGAGAGAAGUAGUGCCCGUACCGCAAACCGACACAGGUAGGUGAGGAGAGAAUCCUAAGGCCGGCGGAAGAAUUACAGUUAAGGAACUCGGCAAAUUGACCCCGUAAGUUCGCGAGAAGGGGUGCCUACGAGAGUAGGCCGCAGAGAAUAGGCCCAAGCAACUGUUUAGCAAAAACACAGGUCUCUGCUAAAGCGUAAGCUGAUGUAUAGGGGCUGACGCCUGCCCGGUGCUGGAAGGUUAAGGGGAACACUUAGCGCAAGCGAAGGUGUGAACUUAAGCCCCAGUAAACGGCGGCCGUAACUAUAACGGUCCUAAGGUAGCGAAAUUCCUUGUCAGGUAAGUUCUGACCCGCACGAAUGGCGUAAUGACUUGGGCACUGUCUCAACUGUAAAUCCGGCGAAGUUGUAGUGCGAGUGAAGAUGCUCGCUACCCGCGAUUGGACGGAAAGACCCCGUAGAGCUUUACUGUAGCUUAGCAUUGAGUUUUGGUAUUGUCUGUACAGGAUAGGUGGGAGACUAGGAAACCAGGGCGUCAGCCUUGGUGGAGUCAACCUUGGGAUACCACCCUGACAGUACUGAAAUUCUAACUGGCGGCCAUGAAUCUGGUCACAGGACAUUGUUAGGUGGGCAGUUUGACUGGGGCGGUCGCCUCCUAAAAAGUAACGGAGGCGCCCAAAGGUUCCCUCAGAACGGUCGGAAAUCGUUCGAAGAGUGCAAAGGCAGAAGGGAGCCUGACUGCGACACCCACAAGUGGAGCAGGGACGAAAGUCGGGCUUAGUGAUCCGGUGGUACCUCGUGGGAGGGCCAUCGCUCAACGGAUAAAAGCUACCUCGGGGAUAACAGGCUGAUCUCCCCCAAGAGUCCACAUCGACGGGGAGGUUUGGCACCUCGAUGUCGGCUCGUCGCAUCCUGGGGCUGAAGUAGGUCCCAAGGGUUGGGCUGUUCGCCCAUUAAAGCGGCACGCGAGCUGGGUUCAGAACGUCGUGAGACAGUUCGGUCCCUAUCCGUCGCGGGCGUAGGAAAUUUGAGAGGAGCUGUCCUUAGUACGAGAGGACCGGGAUGGACUGACCUCUGGUGUACCAGUUGUUCCGCCAGGAGCACAGCUGGGUAGCUAAGUCGGGAAUGGAUAAACGCUGAAAGCAUCUAAGCGUGAAGCCAACCUCAAGAUGAGAUUUCCCAUAGCAUAAGCUAGUAAGAUCCCUUGAAGAACACAAGGUUGAUAGGUCUGGGGUGUAAGCAUGGUAACAUGUUCAGCUGACCGAUACUAAUAGAUCGAGGGCUUGACCAA